Hyaena hyaena (striped hyena) is the source of this 2037-nucleotide long non-coding RNA. RefSeq lists it as uncharacterized. The transcript has 3 exons. Lineage: Eukaryota; Metazoa; Chordata; Mammalia; Carnivora; Hyaenidae. The record is from RefSeq and is a predicted model, not a curated record.
UCUCAAGACCUGAGAACAGAAACAUGCUGGACCGUGGAGAAAGAACAGAGGAAUGAGGAAGGUUAUAAUUAAAGCACCAUCAAGAAUGGAGGUCUUCCCAGGAUUCAGUCUUCUACUAAUAAUAGCCUCAUUUCAUUUUCCAGUUGUAAUAUUUUCAAGCUCCAAACCCUGUGGUCACAGGUAAAUACCCCUCAACUCCACCUGCUUUUCUCUUGUUCUGUCCCUUUUUGGAUGUUUGGACACAGUGACAAAACCGAGGCAGGGAGGCCAGUUCUGUGCCAUCUGCCAGUCUGUCUGCAGGUUUGAUCUCAGUUCUUGACAGCCUACCUGAAGGCCCUCCCGAGUUUGGCCCAAAUGAAAAGAAAGCGUGUUGUGAGCACCUGGCCAGCAUAUGAUUUACCAGGAAAGGGGGAUCAUGCAGCAGGAGGAGGGAAGAGGAGAGUCUGCCUGGAGGCCUGACUGGCCAUCUGAGGAGGCUGACGAAAGGAGCUGCACAGGAAAAAUGACAGGCCCCCUGGGAAAGAGGCUGCGGAUGCAUACUUGUCCUCUGAAGGGCAAGGGAAAAAGCCUGAAUGCAGAGAGAGCCAGACUCCCUGGCCCGUGGAAGGCCAUCCAUCAAGGUGGUAAUCACACCAGCAGCAGAGGCAGCCCUUCUUGAUUGCUAGGCCAUGGACCUCGAGGUGGACCUGCCUGUCCUUUGGGCAUCAGAGCCAGAAAAGAAUGCAGAGAAGGCCAGAGAAUGGACCUCAUGAUCUCCCUAACUUCUCUGGAAGUGAAGGGGCUUGGGGGUAAGAGUGAGUGAAAUGGGAACCUCAAGAGACAGAAGGGGUCAAAGCACAGCUCACCUGGGCCCCAGCUGUCCCACGCACAGCGCCCGUCUCCUGGUCUCGAAGACCCCUCUCUUGGGGCAGGUUCCUGGGAGGCUGUGCCGUCAUCCAGGCUGGUGAGAAAACAGCCUCUUUUGGAAGGCGGCUGCCACAGAGCAGCCAGAGCAGGGCUGUGCGUGGGGCUCCUGGCCCAGCAGCAGCAGCGCUGGGAACUCAUCACAAAUGCACAUUCUUGGGCCCUGCCCCCACUGCAUCGGACACCCCGGGGCUGUGAGUGGAUGGACACAGCCCCCCGGGUGAGUCCAAACACGCUAAGAGUUUGAGGACCACUGCCAUCGCCAGUGGCCUGUGUGUGUCAAGAAGGUCCUUUCAGCAGACUCUUUGCAUAACAGCUUUUAUCAAAAAGGCUUUCAUUCUAAAGCAGUAUGUGCUCGUUACAGAAAAAAAAAAGUUUAAUGGAGGAGAGAUGCUCUGAGCCCAGGCAGCUAGUUACCCUAGUACGUCCUAAAAAUGUCUCAGCAUCUCAUGCCUUUUAUUUUUGUCAGGCCAACAUAAUAUAUUCUUUCCCAGAAAUCUACCUUCAUGAAUUCUAAGGAAAUGUUUCAUUUUGUUGACUUCAGAGGACAUGCAGAAGUCUGUGACCCUGAGGAAGUUACCCAAAUAGGGAUCAGAGCAGCCCGAAGAUAGGAGCCACCUUCCUUCAUGAAGUCCAAAGUGUAUGACUUGUCCUUCAAGUGAGUGAGGAGUGUGCGUCCUGGCGAGUGCCGUCAGCUUGCAUUGCUCCCUCUCCCCUCCGCUCGCUCUGCCCUUCACGCCCCAGACAGGUUUCAGAUGGCUGUUUUGUCCCUGACGUUCCUGUACCGUGUGCGUUCCUGUGAAGAUCCUGGCUCUGAAAUGGUGGGGGCCACGGGAGAGAGAGACUGUCACCACAGGGAGAGGCCAAGGGGACCUGGGUCAGGAUGACUUCUCGCAGCUCCUUCUCCAGGAAUGUACAAGAUCGUUACACUGACCAGAUCUCAGACCGAGGCCUACCUGGACAAGUGCACACGGUGUGAAACUCCUCACUAUGCCAUACUGACCCGCUAACCCCGGCGGCAGCAGCUCUGAUACAACUUUGUUGAGUGUAUAACCAUAGCACCUGCACUCAAGGAACCUUUCUUUUUUUUUGUAUUAUUAUUUUUUUUUACAAAUAGUUUAUUGUCAAGUUGGU